Molecule: ribosomal RNA, 462 nt
Filed under: Triticum aestivum (bread wheat)
Lineage: Eukaryota; Viridiplantae; Streptophyta; Magnoliopsida; Poales; Poaceae
Description: partial small subunit ribosomal RNA
Source: RNAcentral
AUGAACAUCGAUCCUCUUCGUAGGGGCAAUCCUAAAACAAAGCAUCAGAAAUUAACACCUCCCCAAGCAUCAUUGUCGUCAUCUCCGAACUUGUCUCAGCAACAGGCUUCUCCUACAAUGAUGCAACCUUUGUCUAGUUCAAACUUUUCAGAGACUUAUAUAACACAAGGAGUUGUUUGCAUGAACCAUAAUAUGAAUGUCCAGCCAAUGGUCAAACCUCCCCCAAUUAGUGACAUGCAAGACAGUCAUUCAGUGAUGUACAUGCAAUCAUUUAAGGAUUCCACUUUUUGUCAAACAGAAUGUGUGUUCUCGGAUCUAGAGUCGAAAGAUAUGUACACUAGAGAUAAUAAAUCUAAACAAAAUAGCACGUGGUGUCCUGAUAAUUCAGAUAUUAGCGAGAUUUUGGAUAAAGAUCCUAAGCCUUCAUGGGAUGUAAAGUAUCUCUUCUACAAUGGUGACUAA